Molecule: ribosomal RNA, 482 nt
Filed under: uncultured bacterium
Lineage: Bacteria
Description: partial 16S ribosomal RNA
Rfam family: Bacterial small subunit ribosomal RNA
Source: RNAcentral
GAUGAACGCUGGCGGCGUGCUUAACACAUGCAAGUCGAACGAUCAAGCAGAGAAACUCGUACUUUGGUUCUAAUUUCACUUCGGUUUAGUACCAGACGAGUGAGUACCUCUUAAGCAACCUACCCCUUACAAAGGGGUAGCUUCGGCCAACCGAUAUUAUUACCCUAUGACACCUUCAUAAGGCAUCUUACUUAUGUUAACGCUAGGGCGGAUCGGCAUGGGCUCGCGUCCCAUUAGAUAGUUGGGGAGGUAACGGCACACCAACGCGACGAUGGGUAACCGGCCUGAGAGAGUGAGCGCUCACAUUGGAGCUGGGACACGGUCCAAACUCCUACGGGAGGCAGCAGUGGGUAAUAUUGCAACAUGGAGGGAACUAUGAUGCAGCGACGAUGCGUGAACGAUGAAGUAAUUGGUUACGUAAAGCUCUGUUCUAUGGGAAGAAAAGGACGGUACCAUAGGAGAAAGCCCCGGCUAACUACGUG